UACGGAGGGUGCAAGCGUUGUUCGGAAUUACUGGGCGUAAAGCGCGUGUAGGCGGCCGAUUAAGUCUGGUGUGAAAGCCCGGGGCUCACCCCCGGAAGUGCGCUGGAAACUGGUCGGCUAGAGUAUGGAAGAGGAAAGUGGAAUUCCCGGUGUAGCGGUGAAAUGCGUAGAGAUCCGGAGGAACACCAGAGGCGAAGGCGGCCUACUGGGCUGCACCUGACGCUGAGCCGCGAAAGCGUGGGGAGCAAACAGG
This 253-nucleotide ribosomal RNA is filed under the name uncultured bacterium. RNAcentral describes it as "partial 16S ribosomal RNA". It matches the Rfam family "Bacterial small subunit ribosomal RNA", at positions 524 to 776 of the family's 1533-position model. The record is from RNAcentral.